Molecule: long non-coding RNA, 1329 nt
Filed under: Lepisosteus oculatus (spotted gar)
Lineage: Eukaryota; Metazoa; Chordata; Actinopteri; Semionotiformes; Lepisosteidae
Description: lncRNA (ENSLOCG00000022191.1)
Source: RNAcentral
UUCCUACCUGGCCCCGCGCGCACACCGCGGGGCGGCCACCCCGGCCCACCUCGCGCCGAGCGCGCGUCGCCCGCGCAAGGGCAGAUCCGGAAAUGGCUGCACGGCUGGCGCUCGGUAACACGGUGGACUCGCAGGGGCGGAGGAAGGAAAGAUAUAUCUAUAAUAUCCCCCCCACCCCUUCCUCCGCGCCCGUCUCGCUUGAGAAUUACAAGUCGCUGUAUCUACCUGUUUCGAUUUAACCUGGGGGGGGGGGGUACCCCGAACUUUUAAUGAAAGACGGCCGGGGUGGUGUCAGCGCGAAUGAAUGAAAAAAUGAAGGAGGGGACAGGCGCCGUCGGAGGGGACGAAAUGGGAAAUAAAAUCGCCGAUGCGGUGACCGCCGAGCCUUACCUGGACAGAAAUCAGGGCACGAAGGGAGGGCGGCGCGACCCAACCCAUUCUGACAUGAACGCGCUGGCCACACACACACACACCCGUCAGCGCCCGAGUCUCACCGUCUCGGCAGACAAAAACCUUCGCUAACUUCACCACAUUCACGUGGUUCCCAAAAAGCGCUUCGUUCCACACCCCCCCCUCUAAAGCCCUCCACUCCCGGAGAAGGACGAGGGCUGCGGCGUUGGAUUUCUAAUGAAUCGCCGUCGACAGGGAGGCUUUUUUGUUUUUGCCCCCGUUCUCUCCUGUCUGUUGUCCCGAAUAACAGUUCAUUGUCAGUCUCUGCUCCUAGAACCCCCUGCACGCCCGCACCAUCAAAAUCUCCACACUACGCGUACCGUAGUAAGCGGCGCCGAACCCCCAGCGCAGCCAGCUCGGAAGCAGGCGCAGCUGAGCGUGGAGAAAAGAGGCUUUCUUUAUGAUCAAGGAGGGACCGAGCUGCAGAGCCAUAGCCGUACAAAGCUCGGAAGCAUCCGAAAACACCGGGUUUUCUUCCGUUCUGGUCCCUGUUUAAAAGCCCCAAAGAAACAAGCCCGGCUCCGUCGAGCCCACCGGGGACGCACCGGACCGCGGAGACGGGCGGACGCGAGUCUACCAGCCUUCUCGGCCUUUUGCCCAAGAUCAUGCGUGGAGUGUCGUGUGUGUCUCCCCCUCUGCAGCUGCCCCUGGGUCACUCCUUACUCUGCAGGGGGGUCCCAGCCUCCUCCUCCUGCUCUGGCCAGGAGGUCAGCCCUCAGCCAAGCAGGUAAAACCAGGUUUUAUUGACUGAAACACUCCACAAACCUUUUCAAGCUGCUAAAUUCUUGGGUUUGUUAUUCCUAGUGAACUGUCGGUUAAGUGGAGCAACAAGACAGAAAGAACAAAAGUGGGCUAUUGGAUAUCCAUUGCACAGAUCUG